Long non-coding RNA from Mus caroli (Ryukyu mouse), 462 nucleotides. RefSeq lists it as uncharacterized. The record is from RefSeq and is a predicted model, not a curated record. Lineage: Eukaryota; Metazoa; Chordata; Mammalia; Rodentia; Muridae.
AGGAUCAUGGAGUAGUUUCCUACAGCUGCCAUGAAAAAAUAUUCCACAAAUUAGGUGUUUUCAAAGCCUCUUGUGUCUGUGUGUGAGCAUAGAAGAAAGGUCUGUGAGAAUAUAAUGAACAAGUGGCCAUCACCCCCGAGAGUAUCUGAUCUUGGACCUCCUGAGCCUCCUGAGCCAUGAGAUGGAGAUUUGCCUCACUUGUCACGAAGUCUGCAGCAUUUUGUCAUGGUGGCUCCAGCAGGUUUAUGCCAACACCCAGGAAGAGGUAGAGAAUCUUCCCUCAUUUCUCCUGAUGGGCCAUGAAAUAGCAUGGCUUUCAACUGGGAACAUUUACUGAAAACCCAAAACAAAAGAAGUGAAUGGCAGAGGACAUACAUAACCCCCUGGGCUGUGAUCUCUAAGUUCCACAUUCAGGAGCCUUGACUGUGGACAUUGAGGGAGUGAAGAAAGCAUUGACACAGA